This 66-nucleotide transfer RNA is filed under the name Parasacculina shiinoi. RNAcentral's name for it is "tRNA-Val". Lineage: Eukaryota; Metazoa; Arthropoda; Thecostraca; Polyascidae. The record is from RNAcentral.
UAAAUAGUAGUAAAAAUUAAUAUUACGUUUUAUUUACAAUAAGAAGUUGCUUUUAAGACUAUUUAA